GGGACUCACGCAAGCAAACCGACCACUAAUCCACGUAUAACUUAAAAUCAAAACACAAUUUGUCAUCCGGACGUGCCAAACCUUUAAACGACUGGAAUAUUAAAUCACAUUAACUUCAGAGAUAACAUUACCAAUGAACAUCCAACCGUUCACUCUUAAAUACAUCUCCGACUAGUUCAACACAACCUACAAAUAUACAUUAUAAACCAUACAGCAAACUCAUCAAGCUCAAAUAAAUUCAUACAAGCCAAAACUUAGGGUUUGCACUUUUCCAGCUUCAAGUGACAACCCAAAACAAAGAUACAAGUACGAUUCGAAAUAAUAUUUACAUAACGAUAAGAUAGACUUCAAGUUUCUCGAUUCCCAGAACCUGUUAAGGAAAACAAAUAUCGUGUGGUGAGCUAACGCUCAGUGGUGCCCAAAACAUGCAAUCAUAUAAGGCAAGUAACGAGUAUUAAAAUUCAACAAUUAGGAAAGCGUAUAACAGCACACGGUAGGAUACAGGGCUCUCAGGAGCCAUUCUCCGCGCUUGAUCAGAAAUUACCGUAGUUGACCCUCCGUCAACUCUCACUACUAACGGUCCAUGUAGAACUCCUUAUUUUACUUAACUCCGGCCACCGAUCAUACCCCAGCUCCGGGCCCGCACGACAAAAUAAAAGAGAGCGGUAGUACUCGAGUAUACCCCCUGGAUAAACUAGUCGAGGGAUUCACCCAACGACGUCACAAAAUAAGAAAUUACCAGGUCAGGAUAAGAGGCCCUCCCACCCUUAAGGUGUAGUACAUUCCCCUGCCUAGUGAUUUAGUACUUGAGAUAGGAUAAGAGGCCCUCCCACCCUCAGGUAUGGUACAUUCCCCUACUCAGUACUUAGCACAUGAGAUAGGAUAAGAGGCCCUCCUACCCUCAGGUGUGGUACAUUCCCCUACUCAGUGCUUAGCAAGUAUUCCAAGGUUUUAGCAUUUGAGAUAGGAUAAGAGGCCCUCCCACCCUCAGGUGUGGUACAUUCCCCUACUCAAUGCUUAGCAAGUGCAAGCAGGAUAUUUCACGAAAAUAUUUCAAGCAAGUCACCACUCGAAAGAGCUAGUGCGAUAAAGUACACACUGCCCACUUCGAUGGAUCAGAAACCAUUUUCCAAUUAUCACAUAUCAAGUCAAGAAAGCACUUUAAUCAAGUAGGCAUAGAACAAGCAAGGACACUCACCAAUUCAAAAGUAAUUGAGCGAGAAAUCUUUAAUUGUCCCCUCUGGGAUUCUCUUCAAGACUAGCUUGGGCACCUGAAGCAAUUUGACAAGUAUUUUUCACUCAUAAUCACGCAUUACUCAAGAAAGGAGUUACACUCAUGUAGACUUGUCAAUACCUCAAAUUAAGAACCUUAACCACUCAAAAUAAAGGUUCAAAAGUGAGGUUUUAUUAACACAAGGAAAAAAUAAUUUCCUUCAUGAAAUCAAGUUUAAAGCGACCAAUUAUCAUCAAGAAGGAAUAACGGGUUUUCAAAAUUUCAGUUUAUAAGAAAUCGGCAAAAUUUCAGCUUUGCACGUCAAACUUAGAAAAAUCAGAUCUUGUACUCAGUAGGUCCAAAAUUGGAAAACUUGGUACCGUUGGAAACUACUUCCAAAGUACUAAAAGUUCCUAGAAUACACCUUUCUAAGAUUCCACAUGGAAAACAUUCAAAAAUAAGCUCAAAGUCUCUGUUUUUAGUUCAUAAGGCAGAUUUAAGUUGAUUUUUGGUCAACUUUGAAAAUUCGGAAAAAUUCACUUGUUUGGAACUAGCUUUUGAAAUUUAUAACUCUAUUAGUGUUGUAAUCCAAGAGUAUAACAAAACAAACGGAACAAGAAACGGAGUUUUGAAUACUAAGAUAUGGCAACUCAAAGUUACCAAAAUUCCUUUGUGAAACAUGGGUUUUUCAAACUCGAGUCAUGAACUUUGGUAAUUUAUUUGACCCAUGCAACGGUCUCGGAAUAACACCAUAAUUAGCAGUAUAAUACUACCAUAUAAGGGUUGUCUCUCUACCAAAUUUCAUAGAAAAAUAGGCACGGGAAGUCACUUAACAAAAUCACUCAAGUUUCCAAAAUUUUAAGGCAAAGCUGCCUUGUAUAUAAAAAUUUCCUUUUCUAAACUUUUGACCAAGGAAAAUCCUCUAAACAUGGUUCAUUUACAUAGAAAAGGUUUAAGGGUCAUCCCAGAACAACAUUUGUGGUGGUUAACACCAAGAGAUUAAAUUUGCAAGUCUACACUGAGCCUUGCAUCAAAUCUGUCCCAAAAAGGAGGGUUUUCAAGAACAGAGCAGGUUUCAUAUUUUGAUCACAGGUCACUCAAAUUAACUCGGAAUUUGGCAUGGUUUAUGGCAUUGGAAAACAUAAUCAUAGAGCUAUAAUUUCACAGAAGAAAUCAUUUUGAAAUUCGGCACACAACUAGAUCGAAUUCGAGCCACAAGUUGUAGCCUCAGCAUUUUGUUCUUGUAAAACAGAGAAACAGAGUAGUCAUCUUUAAAUGGUUGGUUCGGCUCACACACAUGGUACCAGAACAUACAUUAUAUACCGUUGGAAAGGCUGGGAUAUCUAGUUUCAAAUGCCGCUGACGGAACUCGAUUUUGACAUCGGAGCAUAGAGUUAUGGCCGAAAUACAAAAGCGGGUCAGAGUAUUACGAAAACAGUUUUCCAGAUUUACUGGCUUCACGAAAUUGAUCCCAUUGACCAACCAAACCCCAAUAUUUUUAAAUGAAACUUUAUACACCAUAUAUUCAACAUAUAAACAUGAUAUAUAAGUCAUGAAACCCUCAAAAUUCUGCAAAAAGGGGUGCGGUUGAAACAGGGCAAACCUGAACAUUUUUGAACUACACAUCCCUUGAAGUCGAGACUAGCUAGGUAUCAUUAAUCUACCCAUUUAAGCACUAAACUAGCAUUAUAUCCAUCAUCAAUCAUUAAUCCAAGGGUGGGAGUUCAUAGAGCCCACCAUCAAAAUUUUCCGACAUGAAAUAAAACAAAUAACAUGUAAUUUUGGCAAAUAAUUCCACCACAAUAAAUCUGUCAUCGGCUAAACAGAAUUCCAGCAGUUAAUUGGUCAUAAAUCCAACUUUUUACUCGGCUAAAACAUGAUAUUAAGUACUCAAUUUCGGCAUGCAAUUACUUAGCUAGUCGAUUAACAUUUCUAGUCCAAAAAUCCGAUUCGGUCAGCAACAAGAAUCAUCCAAAAAUCCAGAAAUUUAUUCAGUUUUCCUCGGCUAAGCUUGCAUGUAAGCUGAUCCAUUUCAUUUUUAUUUUUUUUUUCUUGCUUAACCGAGCCAAGGAGCUGUAUGCAAAGCUUAAUCAUCUUGUUCUUAGUUAGAUCAACGCAUUUAUCAGCUCAGACUACUACAAAGAGACAGAAUUGAAGCUGUAUUUCCCAAAACAGUCUCACGGCAAUUCCAAUUUCUUCCUAAUCAGAUUUUCUCAUGCCUUGAUUGCAUCAUCCGAGUGCACAGCUCAACAGGCAUGUCCAUAGAUAGUUCAAUCUAUCACUAAUCAACUUAUUCUAGCUCAGUAAUUACCUCACAAAGAAGAUUAUACGCACGGCAGAAAGCUGAAGUUUCUCCCCUCUUGGUUCACACGCGAUUGAACGUGAUGUUCCUGGUUGCAGUGGUUGCAAUAGUUGCGGCUGGAACUGAUGGAAAUGGUGACAAUUAGCAGCUGGGUGAGGUUUAGAAAAUGCAAAGGAAACUCACGCACGGCCUCUCCCUCUCUUUCCUCAAGCUCACUGACAGAAACAGAAAAGAUUUCAGCUCGCAGCUUCCUUUUCUUUCCUCUCGGAUUGCAGAGUGCGGCUCAGUCUCUCCCUCUCUAUCUCAGUCGAUGUUAACGAGGUGAAGGUGGAGUGUGGUCUGAGGUGAAUUGUUGCAGAGGAGGUGGAAUGGAGUUGCGGUAGCGGUUUGUGAUAUAGAAAUGAGGAGGGAGAAAGGUGGUGCCGCGGUUUUGAGAAGGGGUUGAGUGUAGGAGUGGUAAAAGUUUUUGCAUUGGCCGGUUAGGGUGGUGGAGUUAUAAUGUUGUCCAGAAAUUUUGAUGGGUUUGCAUGGUAAUUUGUGAGGUAGUGGAGGGUAUUUUGGACUUUUCACUUUUCCUUCUAAUGACCACUUAAGCCCUUGAUUCGAGUAUAAUCUCACGAAUUAUCCCCAUGCGUGAUUUAAACUCCUAAUAGUGUACUAAUCUCGCGAGGGUUUCGAUUAUCGAAAUUUAUCGAUUACAAUUUAAUAUUAAGGUUCCUAGUAAUUCCUAACAUUAUUACCUAAUUAUUUAAACUAUAAAAAUCAAGUUUGACCUUAAUAUAUAAAUUUAACAUUCUUAAUAUUCGUUUAUCCUUUUAUAUCAAAACUUAUUAACUUAAUCAUUAUUAAUGCUUAAGAUUAGCUAUCGGAAUUCAAAGAAAUUUAAUUGUUAAAUCAAUGAAAUAAUUUACCUUCGAAAUAUGAAUUUAAUGUAACAAAACUAGGAAAUUUAAUAGUUUAGCACAAUUCUUUUAUUUUGCACAUAAAAUUUAUUUCUACGCACUUAUUUAAAACAAUUAGAUUUAAUGCUAAAAUUUAUUAAAGAAUUAAAAAUGCAAAUGAAAUAUGCACUGAUAUUUAUAUAUAUAUAUAUUUUUUUUUUCAGGAUUCUCACAUCCUCCCCUCCUUAAAAUGAAUUUUGUCCUCAAAAUUCUCACCUUCUUGCAUUUUCGGGCAACCGGCAAUUUGGUGCUCGCUACUUCCGCACCUCAAACACUUUCCUUGUUUCCUCCAGCAUCCGUCCUCAGUAUGGCCAAUUUUCCUACAAUACCCACAAGUUGCCUGGGGAGUGGUCACACGACCUCCUUGCGAGGCGUUCCUAGGUUGACCUCUUCCAUUUGGUCCUCCGUUAGCUCCAUUAUCUCUUUCUCCGGCACCUCUGGCACCAGCUCCUCUCGCUAGAGCGCCUCGUGGUGCUCCAUGACUAUUUACUCCACCCGUUCCUCGACCCACUUUGGCCGGUGGAGCAUUUGCAUAAGUCGGCUCUCGACUACUGCUAGGUGCAAAUCUUUUUUUGGCCUGGAAAGUUUUUACUUGAGCUCUGGCAACUUCAACCCUUUGAGCUCUCUCUACAGCAUCAGCAAAUGUGUCUAUUCGAACAUCAGCUAAUCCCUCCUGAAUUUCCACGUUCAGUCCCUGCACAAACCUCCUUACACGCCUUUGCUCCGUAGCUACCAAUUCCGGAGCAUAACGGGAUAAUUUCGUGAAUUGAAUCUCAUAUUCUGCGACACUCAUCGCCCCCUGCCUACACUUAAUGAAAUCAUCCUCUCUUUUUUCUUGGAUGAGAGGAGGAAGAAAUUUGGCGUUGAAUUCCCUUGUGAAGUCCGCCCAGGUCCUAGGAAUAUGAUUCCUGUCCCAAUUGACCCUAAUUAGGUUCCACCAGGAACGAACAACUCCCUCAAACUGGAAUGCUGCGAAAGUCACUUGCCUCUCUUCCGAAUAAUUUAGGGCGGCAAAAAUAUCAGAGAUCCUCUCCCACCAACCUUCCGCUACCUCAGGUUCUGGUCCUCCAUAAAACUUAGGAGGUCCAAACUUCAAGAAUCUCUCUAAUGCCCGAUCCUCGGUAUCGAUUGGGCCUCCUUGGUGAUGCACCUGUCCAGGGGCUUGGUGCUCAGUCAUGCGCUCUAACACAUCAGUUAUCCUAUUGAUUGCGGUGGCCACUGGAUCUCCGGCCACGUUUCCCUGACCAUGGUCUGGGUUGACCUCAGGUUCCCUAUCACCACUACCCUCGGGGUGUUGCCUAGUUGGUCUCCCCCGUCCUCUACCUCUAACUUGGAGAUCCAUAGUCUAGUUAUGCCUAUUGAUAAGAAUAAAGUAAUCAAGCGAAGAUGUUGCUAUUUAUUUACUUGUUAUUAUUAAGUGAAGUCAACAUGAAUACCAAGAGAAAGAAAAUUAAACACUUAAAGCAUAUAUUCACAUACCAAAGUUCAUACAACUUUAAAAGCCAAACAAUUCACGGUACAUUCAAUAUUUUCAUACAUAACUCAACUUAAAUCUUUAUAAACACGAAAGAAAACAAUACAAUAAUACACAAAUUAUUAUAGCCACAUAGCUAGUAGCUCAACCCUUAGUUUAGAUUCGACUUAACCUUCGUUAGUUUAGUCCUGGACAAUACCACUAGCCCCCACUUGUUCUUUUCAAUUCCUCUAUCAUAUUAGUUUCUAACUCUAGAAUUCCUAUCACGUCGCAUCCUUAUGGAUUUCCUCAUUUCUUACAUUCUAAUAUAAACUCUCUCAUUUGCUAUUACUAGCCUCUGCUUUUUACCCAUUUAAACUCGUAUCACUCGCUUCAGAUAGAAGUAAGUUCUUGAACAGUCACAGGGACUAGUCAUUCGAUGCCCUAGAACACACUGCCGAAAGGACGCUUCUGGUCCUUACUUAAACUACUAUUUCACCCAAAGUUCAGAUUUAAACCCACAUUUUGGGUAAAAGAUGGCAUAUAAUCCAUUGUAAAAUUAUUCAUUUUAACAAGUAGAAUUUGCACUAAUCUUUAAGAUCUCACUACUGGCCCUUCACUUUUAACUUUCAAAAGCUAGCCUUGGUCUCUUUAAUUCUAUUUCUUCAAAUCAACUCAUGAUUUCUGAUAACGUCAUAAGGCAAUAUGCUAAAUUCCUCCCAAAUUGCAAAUGCACCAUUGAAUGAGGUAUUUAAUACUCGAGUACAAGAAUCUGGCAAUAGGAUAAUUCGCAGCUCAGGCUGGCCAGUCCCAAGAGUAAAUCACCUAUAUGUGAGAUUCCUACCCAACAUACGCAUCUAAUAUCCCCAACUGUAGACUUUUGUUUCACACUUAACAAGCCAAUCCCAACAGUCCGAGAAUCCUCUCCCGGCACGAGCUCGAUAAGAGCUCUGAUACCACCUGUGGCGGCCCCACUUCCCCCUAAGGUGAACCAGAGAGUUGGCGGGUCGCCUGCCCAGCUCUCGCCGGGACUCACGCAAGCAAACCGACCACUAAUCCACGUAUAACUUAAAAUCAAAACACAAUUUGUCAUCCGGACGUGCCAAACCUUUAAACGACUGGAAUAUUAAAUCACAUUAACUUCAGAGAUAACAUUACCAAUGAACAUCCAACCGUUCACUCUUAAAUACAUCUCCGACUAGUUCAACACAACCUACAAAUAUACAUUAUAAACCAUACAGCAAACUCAUCAAGCUCAAAUAAAUUCAUACAAGCCAAAACUUAGGGUUUGCACUUUUCCAGCUUCAAGUGACAACCCAAAACAAAGAUACAAGUACGAUUCGAAAUAAUAUUUACAUAACGAUAAGAUAGACUUCAAGUUUCUCGAUUCCCAGAACCUGUUAAGGAAAACAAAUAUCGUGUGGUGAGCUAACGCUCAGUGGUGCCCAAAACAUGCAAUCAUAUAAGGCAAGUAACGAGUAUUAAAAUUCAACAAUUAGGAAAGCGUAUAACAGCACACGGUAGGAUACAGGGCUCUCAGGAGCCAUUCUCCGCGCUUGAUCAGAAAUUACCGUAGUUGACCCUCCGUCAACUCUCACUACUAACGGUCCAUGUAGAACUCCUUAUUUUACUUAACUCCGGCCACCGAUCAUACCCCAGCUCCGGGCCCGCACGACAAAAUAAAAGAGAGCGGUAGUACUCGAGUAUACCCCCUGGAUAAACUAGUCGAGGGAUUCACCCAACGACGUCACAAAAUAAGAAAUUACCAGGUCAGGAUAAGAGGCCCUCCCACCCUUAAGGUG
RNAcentral lists this long non-coding RNA (7711 nucleotides) under Coffea arabica (coffee). Its description in RNAcentral is "long non-coding RNA (CARA_LNC001974)". The record is from RNAcentral. Lineage: Eukaryota; Viridiplantae; Streptophyta; Magnoliopsida; Gentianales; Rubiaceae.